Molecule: long non-coding RNA, 326 nt
Filed under: Mytilus galloprovincialis (Mediterranean mussel)
Lineage: Eukaryota; Metazoa; Mollusca; Bivalvia; Mytilida; Mytilidae
Source: RNAcentral
CAAUGAUUUAGUUUGGCUUGUGUGUUACCCUAGUGUGGUCCAUUAUCCAUCAAUGAUUUAGUUUGGCUUGUGAAUCAUCAAAGUGUGAUCUAUUAUCCAUGAAUUAUUAUGGCUUAUGAAUCACCAAACUAUGAUACAUUAUCCAUUAAUUAUUCACUAUUGCUUCCACAAUGUGAUCUAUUGUUCAUUACUGAUUUACUAUAACUUGUGAAGCCUUUUUUCAUAAUUGACAUAAAAACACAAUGCAACUUUUUAAUCAGGGACUGGCAGAAAAAACAUACAAGUUUUGUUAUGAUGUGUAUUUUUUUUUUUAAUUUAUAGACAAA